This 1338-nucleotide ribosomal RNA is filed under the name Dinotoperla sp. BYU_PL105. RNAcentral describes it as "partial 28S ribosomal RNA". It matches the Rfam family "Eukaryotic large subunit ribosomal RNA", at positions 24 to 1895 of the family's 3401-position model. The record is from RNAcentral. Lineage: Eukaryota; Metazoa; Arthropoda; Insecta; Plecoptera; Gripopterygidae.
UCCCGCGUAAUUUAAGCAUAUUAAUAAGCGGAGGAAAAGAAACUAACAAGGAUUCCCUCAGUAGCUGCGAGCGAACAGGGAAGAGCCCAGCACCGAAUCCUGCGCGUCAAACGGCGCGUCUGGAAAUGUGGUGUGUGGGAGGAUCCGAUUAUCUCGCUCGGAAACGCCAGUCAAAGUCCAUCUUGAAAGCGGCCACAGCCCACAGAGGGUGCCAGGCCCGUAGGACGGCGAACGUUCCGAGCGAAAGGGUCUCUCAGAGUUCAAGAGUACGUGAAACCGUUCGGGGGUAAACGGAUGAAAUCUGGAAAAUCGAAGGGAGAUGUUCAAGUCCAACUCGCCGCGCGUUGUCCGGCCACCGCCGAUGGGUGUGCGGCGCCCGUAGCCCCGCGAGGGGAGACGGUGUCGUCCGCGCAGCCCACGCGAUGCGUGGUCGUGCUCGCCGGCGUCGGGCCGCACUCAUCUCCUUGUAGUACGUCGCGACCCGUUGGGCGUGCGUCAAAGGCCCGCGCGUGGAGCCGGUCGGAAACGCGGCGCCGCCUCGGCGGCGUCGACGCCCGGCCGACCGCUGCGGUGUCCCGGCGCACCCGCCCGACGGUAAGACAUGCAGAUCCACAAAUAGCACACCUCUCGACGCAUGUGGGCGGCGCUCCGGCGCUCGGAUCUAGUCGGCGACGCUUUACCCAGAGCAUCACCCGACCCGUCUUGAAACACGGACCAAGGAGUCUAACAUGUGCGCGAGUCAUUGGGACCGCACUAAACCUAAAGGCGUAGCGAAAGUGAAGGUCGGUUUAAUCGCGGCGGACCUCCGGGCCCGAUCGCCGAUUGCCGCCGAGGGGGGAUGCAGCCCGUCCGCAGCGACGCGGCAGCCGCACCCCCGGGGCGUCUCGUUGUCAUCGCGACACAGCAGGCGCACCCAGAGCGUACACGUUGGGACCCGAAAGAUGGUGAACUAUGCCUGGUGCUCGGAGUCAUGCAUUGUGGAGCGGUGUCCGGCGGCUGGUCCGCGCGGCCCGCACGUAACCAGUCUCAUCUGNNNNNNNNNNNNNNNNNNNNNNNNNNNNNNNNNNNNNNNNNNNNNNNNNNGUGACCCAAAGGUACCCGGAGACGCCGUCGGACGAUCGAGGCAGAGUUUUCUGUUCUGUAUGAGCGUUCGAGUUCCCUGGAAUCGCCUAGCGCGGAGAUAGGGUUUGGAACGCGAAGAGCACCGCACUUGCGGCGGUGUCUCGAUCUGUCCCUCGGACCUUGAAAAUCCGGGAGAGGGCCACGUGGAGGUGUCGCGCCGGAUCGUACCCAUAUCCGCAGCAGGUCUCCAAGGUGAGGAGCCUCUAGUCGAUAGAA